AUUUUGUCAACAGAUGACGCCACUUUCUAUUCUUUGAGAAUAUUUAAGUAACGGGACGAAACAAGCCCUUCUACAGGUUUUCCACCUCUGCAGAAGGGCCAGCCGGAUUAUGGAGGGCGGGAUCGACGGACCGCGCCUGGAACCCAAGGUAAACAUUUUCAAGGGAUGGGACCCGAGAUUGGAACCCGGACCCUCCAGAAUGGAAAGCCGAAGCGUUUUACCCUCGGGACUAAACUGGAUCGAAAUCGCCUUAGAAGUGAGAAUAUUGGGGUGGCAGUUAAAAUGCCUUCAUUUAAAUCCUUUAGAGAUAUGUUCUAAUUCGGAAUGACAUCAUAAUUGCACGAUGUCACGAUCGUAAUGACGUAGGUGUAUUCGGCACAAAGCAUCUAUGAUUCGGCAGAUAUGAACUUUUAGAUAAAUUUCUCCGUGAAAAAUGAACUAUUUAAUUUUAUAAACUCUUAAUUUGAAUAAUUUUUGAUAAAGAUUCAGAUUAAUUAUUUGUUCCGAACUCAAUUUUAAAAUUUUUGUUCAGUAAUGCUG
RNAcentral lists this long non-coding RNA (540 nucleotides) under Androctonus crassicauda. The record is from RNAcentral. Lineage: Eukaryota; Metazoa; Arthropoda; Arachnida; Scorpiones; Buthidae.